UUCUGUUAAUCUAUACAUAUAUAUAUAUAUGAAUUCUUUUCAAUGUGUAAAGAAUAAGCACUAUUUUUACAGAGGUAUGGCAAGUAAUGUGUCGGGUGGAGAAGAUUCAAAGUCGGACUUACAGCUGUUUUCAAACUUGUCUAGAAUAGUUCAAACUCUCAAAUCUAUGGCCUUUUGGUUGGCUGUAGAACUCGGAAAAUUAAACAGCUCCUGUAACUGUGAGGGAAAAUUAUGGGAAGAACUGCUCCAAGAAGUCUCAUUUAUUCCCGUUAGGGCAGCUACAGGAAUCGAAAAAGACCCAUAUUCAGUCCAUAACUUGACUAAACUAUUCAUAGAAAAACCAUCUUCGGCUGCUACCAUAGUGGAUAAAAUAAAAAAAGACCCGUCCUUGUCAAAGCUAUUCGCUAAAUCAAUUCGAAAAAACCCAUAUAUUAUGGCAAAAUUAGAAGAAAAUGCAAGACAAAAAUACCCCAGGUUGGAGCUUAAGGUGGAGGACUAUCCCUAUGCCGUUGAUGGACUUGAGAUAUGGAGAGCAAUCCAGAUGUGGGUUGCAGAUUUUUGUUGCAUCUUUUAUGAAGAUGAUAGUUCUGUAGAGUCUGAUGAAGAGAUCCAAGCAUGGUGGAAAGAAAUAAGAGAGGUUGGCCAUGGUGAUAAGGAAUGGGGGUCCCAGAUGAUCAAAGGUCGAUCUGAUUUGAUACAAACUCUAACAACUCUCAUCUGGAUUGCAUCUGCUUUUCAUGCUGCUAUCAACUUUGGCCAAUAUGCUUAUGCCGGUUACCCUCCGAACCGUCCAACCCUUUGUCGAAAACCCAUCCCUAAAGAAGGGACGGAAGAGUAUAAAACCCUCGAAGAGGCUCCUGAAAAGUAUUACCUAGAGACUUUGCCUGACAAAUUUCAGAUGGCUCUUACUGUGGCUCUAAUGGAGGUUUUGUCACGACAUGCAUCCGAUCAAGUUUACUUGGGUCAGAGGUCGUCGCCAAAGUGGACUGACAGCCAACUAGCACUCGCAGCGUUUGCAGAGUUCCAACAAAGGCUUGGCGACAUCCAGGAAAAAAUCUCAGAGAGGAAUAAAAAUAUCCAACUUGCCAACAGAUUUGGACCUGCUGGAAUGACUUACACACUCUUGUAUCCAGAUACAUUCAACCAUGCAUCCAAAGCUUACAUAUCAGGAAAAGGGAUCCCCAGUAGCAUCUCCAUUUAAUUACUUGCAGACUUCUGUAUCCUGAUGUUCCAAGUCAUGUAUCUCAAGGAUACAUCUCAAGAAAAGGAAUCCCCAAUAGCAUCUCCAUCUAGCUUAGCUCACAUGUUGAUUUACAGCUUUUCCUCUUGUCAAAGAAAUAAUUAAUUUUCUUUUUUUUUUUAGGAAUGUCUAAUUUUUGAAACAGAAGAAAAUCAAGGACUGGAAGACAGAGAGAGAUUGCCAAGACCUGCUGACAGUUUUGAGUCGAAUUUUUACUUAUUUGCCUGUAUUCUCGUUUUAUUCAUUUACUGUUGUUAUUAAUUAGCUUAUAACUGCUGAGUUUUGAUAGUUAGAAUAUCUAGAUGGUUUUCUCGAUUAAUUGAACUGUUACUCAUUUGAUUUUCUCCAUUUGUAUUCCGGGGAAGCAUUUAACAGAUGGAAGCUGAUCAUUGAGGAAAGUGUACAAACAAUGAUUCUGUAGAAUGCAAGAUUAUUGAUGAAUUUCUGAAAGAAUAAAGACCUUGAGUCUGUCAAUUUUUCCCCAACUCCUUUCCCUAAUUUCCUAAUUAAUACUCUCUGUUUUCUUAUAUUAAUUCCUAUUGUUCAGAUCCAUGUCUCAGGUUCCUGACAGAGAUCUCUCCAUGAAGACCUUGAGAGAUUCUUCUUCAGAAAAUUGUUUGACCUCUUUAUAAUCUCUUUUUUUUUUUCUUUUGCCUAAGUCCACACUCUGGAUCAAGAAGGCCUUUCUCAUUAACAUGAGUAUAAAGCACAUGCAGAUACCAUAUAACACACCUACAUUUCUUUUUUGAAGUUUUNNNNNNNNNNNNNNNNNNNNNNNNNNNNNNNNNNNNNNNNNNNNNNNNNNNNNNNNNNNNNNNNNNNNNNNNNNNNNNNNNNNNNNNNNNNNNNNNNNNNNNNNNNNNNNNNNNNNNNNNNNNNNNNNNNNNNNNNNNNNNNNNNNNNNNNNNNNNNNNNNNNNNNNNNNNNNNNNNNNNNNNNNNNNNNNNNNGAUUCCAUAUCUAAGCAAAAUAAAUGGCGACAAGCAUGGUCAUGGUGGUAUUUAUGCUUAUGCAUCUCGGACAAUACUCAAGUUGUAUGAUGACACACUAGUUCCAACGGAAAUACAACUUACAAAUGGUGAUCCGGAUUCUGUUCACCGGUUUCUUCCACUACACACUGACAGAGAUGAGCUUACUUGGAAACUUGCCAAAGCUCAUGUUGCAGCUAAUGAUUCUGCAUACCAUCAACUAAUUACCCAUUGGUAAAAAUUUACCAAUUUUCCAUUACCAAUUCUCUUUGUAUUUAACUUACCUAAUUCGUGAAUAAUAUUUUCUGCAGGUUGCAUACUCAUGCAGUGGUGGAGCCAUUUAUCAUUGCUACUAGAAGGCAGCUAAGCGUGGUGCACCCAAUUCAUAGGCUAUUGGAUCCUCAUUUUAAACACACCAUGCAUAUAAAUGCACUGGCACGAACCUUUGUUAUAAACUCAGGGGGGAUCUUUGAGAACAUAUUGUUUACAGGCAAAUUUUCCAUGGAGUUGUCUUCUCAACUCUACAAGGAAUGGAGAUUUGAAGAACAAGCGCUCCCUACUGAUCUUGUCAAAAGGUAAUAUUCUUUUUCAUUUUUUUUACACCCGACUCUUCUGUUCAUCACAUAUGGAUUCUACACCUUAUUUUAACAAUUAUUUCUGGGUAAAGAAUAUCCAUUAAUAUAUUAGUUUCCGUUCCUAGUAUAACUAAAAGCAGAAUUUGACGCUACAUUCUACAGAGAAUAACUGAAAAUUUAACUAUUCUGUUAAUCUAUACAUAUAUAUAUAUAUGAAUUCUUUUCAAUGUGUAAAGAAUAAGCACUAUUUUUACAGAGGUAUGGCAAGUAAUGUGUCGGGUGGAGAAGAUUCAAAGUCGGACUUACAGCUGUUUUCAAACUUGUCUAGAAUAGUUCAAACUCUCAAAUCUAUGGCCUUUUGGUUGGCUGUAGAACUCGGAAAAUUAAACAGCUCCUGUAACUGUGAGGGAAAAUUAUGGGAAGAACUGCUCCAAGAAGUCUCAUUUAUUCCCGUUAGGGCAGCUACAGGAAUCGAAAAAGACCCAUAUUCAGUCCAUAACUUGACUAAACUAUUCAUAGAAAAACCAUCUUCGGCUGCUACCAUAGUGGAUAAAAUAAAAAAAGACCCGUCCUUGUCAAAGCUAUUCGCUAAAUCAAUUCGAAAAAACCCAUAUAUUAUGGCAAAAUUAGAAGAAAAUGCAAGACAAAAAUACCCCAGGUUGGAGCUUAAGGUGGAGGACUAUCCCUAUGCCGUUGAUGGACUUGAGAUAUGGAGAGCAAUCCAGAUGUGGGUUGCAGAUUUUUGUUGCAUCUUUUAUGAAGAUGAUAGUUCUGUAGAGUCUGAUGAAGAGAUCCAAGCAUGGUGGAAAGAAAUAAGAGAGGUUGGCCAUGGUGAUAAGGAAUGGGGGUCCCAGAUGAUCAAAGGUCGAUCUGAUUUGAUACAAACUCUAACAACUCUCAUCUGGAUUGCAUCUGCUUUUCAUGCUGCUAUCAACUUUGGCCAAUAUGCUUAUGCCGGUUACCCUCCGAACCGUCCAACCCUUUGUCGAAAACCCAUCCCUAAAGAAGGGACGGAAGAGUAUAAAACCCUCGAAGAGGCUCCUGAAAAGUAUUACCUAGAGACUUUGCCUGACAAAUUUCAGAUGGCUCUUACUGUGGCUCUAAUGGAGGUUUUGUCACGACAUGCAUCC
This 3912-nucleotide long non-coding RNA is filed under the name Carica papaya (papaya). RNAcentral's name for it is "long non-coding RNA (CPAP_LNC012108)". Lineage: Eukaryota; Viridiplantae; Streptophyta; Magnoliopsida; Brassicales; Caricaceae. The record is from RNAcentral.